GACGAACGCUGGCGGCGUGCUUAACACAUGCAAGUCGAACGGAAAGGCCCUGCUUUUGUGGGGUGCUCGAGUGGCGAACGGGUGAGUAACACGCGAGUAACCUGCCCUUGACUUUGGGAUAACUUCAGGAAACUGGGGCUAAUAUCGGAUAGAAGCUCCUGCUGCAUGGGGGGGGUUGGAAAGUUUCGGCGGUGUGGGAUGGACUCGCGGCUUAUCAGCUUGUUGGGGGGGUAGGGGCUUACCAAGGCUUUGACGGGUAGCCGGCCUUAGAGGGUGACCGGCCACCUUGGGACUGCGAUACGGCCCAGACGCCUACGGGAGGCAGCAGUGGGGAAUAUUGCACAAUGGGCGGAAGCCUGAUGCAGCAACGCCGCGUGCGGGAUGAAGGCCUUCGGGUUGUAAACCGCUUUCGCCUGUGACGAAGCGUGAGUGACGGUAAUGGGUAAAGAAGCACCGGCUAACUACGUG
RNAcentral lists this ribosomal RNA (468 nucleotides) under uncultured bacterium. RNAcentral's name for it is "partial 16S ribosomal RNA". It matches the Rfam family "Bacterial small subunit ribosomal RNA", at positions 28 to 507 of the family's 1533-position model. The record is from RNAcentral.